AGAAUUUUAAAAAGAGCUUUCUUUCAAAUUCAAAUGAAGUUAAAGGCUAUACAUAAGUAAUUCCUUACAUCCAUGUACUUCGACCUUUUCAUUUCACAAUCAUAAAAAUAAAAUUGAGAAUGGAAAUGGGGAAUGUGUCAAAGAGACAACAACCCGACCAAAUAAAAAAACAACAGCAGAAGGUCACCAACAGGUCUUCAAUGUAGCGAGAAAUUCCUUCAGCCGGCCCCUAAACAAAUAUAUACUAGUUCAGUGAUAAUGAACGCCAUACUAAUUUUUUAAAUUGUACACAAGAAACUAAAUCAAAAUAAUACAAGACUAACAAAGGCCAGAGGCUUCUGACUUGGGACGGGCGCAAAAAUGCAGUGGGGUUAAACAUGUUUGUGAGAUCUCAACCCUCCCCCUAUACCUCUAACCAAUGUAGAAAAGUAAACGCAUAACAAUACGCACAUUAAAAUUCAGUUCAAAAGAAGUCCGAUUCUGAUGUCAGAAGAUGUAAACAAGAAAAUAAACAAAAUGACAAUAAUACAUAAAUUUAACAACAUACUACUAGCAGUUAACUGACAUGCCAGCUCCAGACUUCAAUUAAACUGACUGAAAGAUUACACAUCUCCUUAUUUUCUAAGGGAGGUAUGCAAAC
RNAcentral lists this long non-coding RNA (640 nucleotides) under Mytilus galloprovincialis (Mediterranean mussel). Lineage: Eukaryota; Metazoa; Mollusca; Bivalvia; Mytilida; Mytilidae. The record is from RNAcentral.